RNAcentral lists this ribosomal RNA (399 nucleotides) under uncultured bacterium. RNAcentral's name for it is "bacterial SSU rRNA". It matches the Rfam family "Bacterial small subunit ribosomal RNA", at positions 29 to 430 of the family's 1533-position model. The record is from RNAcentral.
AUUGAACGCUGGCGGCAUGCUUUACACAUGCAAGUCGAACGGCAGCGCGGGGGCAACCCUGGCGGCGAGUGGCGAACGGGUGAGUAAUGCAUCGGAACGUAUCCUGUAGAGGGGGAUAACCAGUCGAAAGAUUGGCUAAUACCGCAUACGCUCGGGAGAGGAAAGCGGGGGACUCGCAAGGGCCUCGCGCUACAGGAGCGGCCGAUGUCCGAUUAGCUAGUUGGUGGGGUAAAGGCCUACCAAGGCGACGAUCGGUAGCUGGUCUGAGAGGAUGAUCAGCCACACUGGGACUGAGACACGGCCCAGACUCCUACGGGAGGCAGCAGUGGGGAAUUUUGGACAAUGGGCGAAAGCCUGAUCCAGCCAUGCCGCGUGCGGGAAGAAGGCCUCGGUGUAACG